UAAACUUCUUUUAUUAAGGACGAAAAAUGACGGUACUUAAUGAAUAAGCUCCGGCUAACUACGUGCCAGCAGCCGCGGUAAUACGUAGGGAGCAAGCGUUGUCCGGAUUUACUGGGUGUAAAGGGUGCGUAGGCGGCUUUGCAAGUCAGAUGUGAAAUCUAUGGGCUCAACCCAUAAACUGCAUUUGAAACUGUAGAGCUUGAGUGAAGUAGAGGCAGGCGGAAUUCCCCGUGUAGCGGUGAAAUGCGUAGAGAUGGGGAGGAACACCAGUGGCGAAGGCGGCCUGCUGGGCUUUAACUGACGCUGAGGCACGAAAGCGUGGGUAGCAAACAGGAUUAGAUACCCUGGUAGUCCACGCUGUAAACGAUGAUUACUAGGUGUGGGGGGUCUGACCCCUUCCGUGCCGGAGUUAACACAAUAAGUAAUCCACCUGGGGAGUACGGCCGCAAGGUUGAAACUCAAAGGAAUUGACGGGGGCCCGCACAAGCAGUGGAGUAUGUGGUUUAAUUCGAAGCAACGCGAAGAACCUUACCAGGUCUUGACAUCCAACUAACGAAGUAGAGAUACAUU
This 570-nucleotide ribosomal RNA is filed under the name uncultured bacterium. RNAcentral describes it as "bacterial SSU rRNA". It matches the Rfam family "Bacterial small subunit ribosomal RNA", at positions 426 to 1012 of the family's 1533-position model. The record is from RNAcentral.